UUCAAUCUCUCUAAGAACCUCACUUCUUAAUCAGUGUAGAUUUAGACUGUUUUAAAAUGGUGUUGAGUAAAUUUCUUUACGUUCAUAUGUAUAUAGUACAUUGUGGUUUUUCUUACUAAAGGACCUCUUUUCUUUGCAGGUGAUGGUAUUCAAUGAGUCUCCAUGAUCUUUAUCUUAUAAUACUCUAGACAUGGAUGAAAACAAUAGGAGAUAAGGGUAGUAAGCUAAUAAACUAGAAAAGCUAAUCAAUGUAAAGUCAUUGUGAUAUCUUUCUGGAUAAAUGUGUUACCAUACAUCAGUAAAUAUAAGAUUAUUGUUCAAUGUAAUUCUUUUAGAAAUUUCGAGUUCAUAUUAUAGAACCAAGAUACUGUAGUAUCUAUAAGAGGGCUUAAAAAAAGGUAUUUUUAUCUAUGAGCCUACCUUGGGGGGGAGAAAAAUAAGGAUUAGCUUUCAAAAUCAAUUGCCAACAUGGUGCUAUGAUAGAAACAUGAUAUUAUUGUAAUUCCCCGAGUCUGUACCCUGGAUGCUACACGGUGCUCAUAAUCCUGAGGGACCACAAACUAACCUAUGACUGGUACCUACUGCAAUAACUAUAUAAUAAUACUAUAAUUAUGUGAAAAUUAUGUAGAAACUUGCCACAAGGUUCAAAAUUAAAAGUAAAUACUAAAUACUAAAAACUAAAUACUAAUACAUUUGUCUGAAAUACUCUAGUCUGAAAAGCCUCUACUAUCUAAACAAGGAGUUGAUGGGAUAAGUCCCCAACUAACUCCGACUACUGAAAUAAAUUGAGUACUGAAAUACUGAAAUCAUAAGUCUAUCCUCAAACUAUGAGGACUCACCACUAAGUCUGCUACUAAUAGAUCAGGAUGCUAAGUAUGAUCAGGAGCCCUUGCAUCUGAACCUAUGAUAUAAGAAAUCAUAGAGAAAAAGAAAGGUAUGCGUCAGUACUUUGAAUGUACUAGCAUGCUAAGUAAGGUAAGCUGAGAUGCAUGGGUUCAUAUGCAUGAUCAAUACUGACUGAAUGACAUGAUUUUAACUAAAUGAGACUACAUGUAUGAAUAUGUAAACUGUAGCUAAGAUAAUGAUAACACUAGAUAGUGAGUUCUGAAUUAUCGAUUUACUGAUAUCUGAGUGUACUGACACUGUGUGUCUGAUAACUGAGUGACUGUAUCUAAUAGUCUUAAUUUUGAAGAACUGGUUUGAGUAACUGUACCUGGUAGUCCUAAAUCUGUAGAACUGAAUUAAGUUCUAUACUGAGACUGAAUAUAAAACUGAGAUUGUAGGAGGUAAUCAUCUAAUCGACAUAUGUCAUUAUCGUGCCAUGGGUAAAUACAACUGGAUGUAGGGUCAGUCCUAGUCUAACGGGUGAACCCUGAGAUCAGUCCUAACUAACGGGUGAUCCUUAAGUAUGUCAGUCCUAUCUAACGAGUGAUAUCUUAUAACCUACACUAGCUACAUAGUUUUGGAAGUAAGGGAUUACUUCUAGGGACCUAGUCCUAGCUAACUGGUGAGUCCCCAUGCCUAGGCUCACUCGAUGCUAAAUCCUACUCCUAACUGAAUAGACACUAAAUUGAUUCCUAGUUCAUACUAGGCUUGACUGAACUGUUACUGAUAUACUAUCUAACUGAACUGAACUGAGUUAACUGAGUUUUGUUGACUGACAAAAUACUAUGAAAUUUUGUUAACUAACUAAAUUUAAUGAGGUCUGAAUUGAAUAUUGAAAUGGACUGCACAGAUACUGAGUCUAUUGAGUUUUUCUUGGGUUCUGUAACUGACUGAGAGUACUACUGAUCGUGACAUGAUUGAUACUAUCCUAAGUCUGACCAUGGCUCUAGGUACUCAACUAAAUUGUCGAUUAUUAAAUACCCCUAGGAAUCGAUAACAUAAAUUAUAAGACAUGGCUCAAUCUAGAAAAAUGUUAACUAACUACUUGUUCAUCAUUCAUUCAUUGGGACAUUCUAGAAAACACUUGCAUGACCUGAACUUGAAUACAUGCUUACAUGAUAUAAUUUGAUGAUUUAAUUUUGAUGAACAACUCAUCAAACACUUGGAAGACAUUGUAUAUGCACAUAGUACUAAUCAACACAUAAGAAUCACAAUUUCAAGGCUUUAACAUGAAUUCACAUGAUACUACAUACAUAAUAGUUGUUUUUACAUAAAUCUUGUACUUAAUCAUGGAAUAUAAAUCCAAUCAACAUUAUAAUCAUGAAUACACUUGAAUCCAAAUUAUAAAAAGCAUGAAAUCAAGCUACUUGAAGUUUAAAAGAGUUUCCUGGACUCCAAGGGUGGAAGAAACCCUUGGAUGAACACUUGGCAUACCUUAAUAAUUAAAUUUUGAAAUAUUGAUGGUAAGUUCUUAAGCCUUGAAUUGAAUUUGAAAUCUCCUAGGAUUUGUUCUUGAGAGAAACUUGUGAAGAAUUAAUAGUUUUUAUUCUUAGAAGGGUUUAAUUUUGUGUUUUGGGGAUGAUAGAUGUGUGAAGAAGACACUAAGAUAGAAUUGCCAACUUACAAAGGCCAAAAUAAUACUAUGUCUGAAUACUUAGCUAGAAUUUUCUAAGUCUCGGACCCCUUAGCAAGCUUGAAAGGAUUAGUUGAGCUUAGAAUUUUUUGGGUCUAACAAUAUCUCCCCCUUGGGAAUAUUCAUCCUUGAAUGAGACUGAUUAAAUUGAGAAUACUGAUAGACUGGACUUAGACACUGAACAUGCAACACUGAAGCAUGAUUUCAUGACUGAAAUUAUUAAUAUACUAAAUUAUCAUACUGAACAUACAUAUCUGAUGCGUGAGUACAUAACUAAAAAUGAUUCAUGAAUGCAUGACUGGGAUUGCUGAUAAGCUAGGCUUAUAUACUAGACAUGCAUGUCUGAUGCAUGAGUACAUGAUUGAACUGAUUCGUGAAUGCAUGACUGAAUAUAAAAUGGUAAUGGAUACAAAGUUUAUAACUGUAACUGAACAUAGACUACGCCAACCUAAGGAAGACUGUUACCUUAAGCUGAGAAUACUGAUGAACCUGAGAUUAUUUACCAAACAUGUAUGAAUGGGAACAUGAUAAUACUACAGAGAAUGAAAUGGGAUACAUGAACUGAAUAUCAUAAACUAAAAUGAGCCCCUGAAUAUAUGGCUUAUGACUGAGAUUGGAACUUAAGGUUCUACUCAUGAGUACCCAUUAUUCUAAUUGGAUAUUUUAUGUGAAGAAAAAUUGGGAGGUUUAGUACAUGAAUGCUCAGGGAUUAUGGUACAUCUCCCCUUUGGUACAUUAUGUCCCUUGAAGAAUGCUGACUUGGCUGAGAUACUGAAAAAAAGCUGGGAUAAUGCAUAGGGCACCUUCGAACUGAGUCGUGACUGAAUAUCUAGGAUCUAAAUCUGGGACAUGAUACAUGAACUAAGCUGAACACAUAAUUACCUGGUUUCUCCGUCUUGGAAUGGUUAAAUUUAUGAGGCUUCAGAUAGUGUGACUAAAUGGAAGGAUGGGAAACCCAACCAUACAAACAUUAUCCGCCUAGCUUCUAAACUGAAUUGCUGGUUUUACGUACUAACUUAUGCUAGAAACUUAUAUUAGACAGGAGCCUUUCUUUGACACUCUUUAUAUAGAGUUCUAGUGGCUUUAAGAAGUAAGGAGUGUUGGCAUGGCUAAAUAAAAUAGCUGAAUAAGAAAAUCACAUCUUGGCUAAAAUUCUGUAAUAUGAGUCGAGGCCUAUGCACUGCAACUACAAUUUUUCAAGCUUAGACAUAUCCCUUGAAUAAUCUCUCAACUAUACUCUCUACCUUAGUACAAAACUUCUCCUAAGACUACUAAAAUAUUCACAUGGGCACUGAGCAUGAGUGCAUAAACACACUAACUUAUCUGUUUAUCUGAGUGGAUGAUAGCUGAAUACUUGGUCAAGUAAUAUUGAACUCUACUUAGUCUAAAUAACUGGGCUGAAACUGUAGGGUAUUAUGCAUAUGAGAUAAGGAAUGACUGAGUAACAUAGGAUAAUUGAGCAUGAAUUCAUGAAAAUUAUAUUAUUUGAGAAUGCAUGACCAAGCAUAUAAUAUUAUUUUGAAAUAGUCUGUAAACUGAGGUAUUGAAAUACUGAUACCUAAAUAACUGAUAACUGUACGCUAUGGUCAAGCAAACUUGAAACUGAAUUGAGUUAUUGAUCUGAUUACUGGAUUGAGACUAUGACUGACACUGUAACUGAGACUGCAACUGAGAUUGUACUAGAACCUAAUAUUGGGUUCUGAUAACUCUACCUACUGAGGUCUUAUUUGGACUGAAUUCUCCCACUAUGUUCAAGCCUAAUCAAAUUUCCAAAAUGCAUUUACCCACUUACACAUCAACAUGACAUGAAGCCUAUCUUUAUAACUACAGCCUCAUGUAAAACUAGCAUGCAAUAAUAUUUUCUUAACAUGAAAUAUUUACUCUCUCUGAGCUAAGCAACUGCUCGUUUCUACAUCACUUCAUAAGGAGAGUUCACGUAAGGUUAAAACAUGAGGACCUGAAUCAUGAAUGGAACUACACCGAUCUUGACACUUAACUGAGGCCUGAGGAAUAUGAUAUCAACAUCCUAGAUUUUGUCAAGAAACCUAAAUUGAGGAUUUACAUAAUGAAAUUCGAAUUUAGCUGAUCAUUAAGAGUAUAGCAUAAGUCAUGGGAACUGAGCAUACUAUAAAGCAUGACAUGAGUACAUGAGUCAUGAGCUGCAUGACUUGAUUUUGGAGUUUUUGUAUUAAUGGAUCGUGAUUCGUAACACAGAGUAAACUGGAACUCCUUAUAAUAGGAAUUAUAAGCGUACACGAUUCUUGUUAAUGAGCACGAAUAUGAGCUAUGAUCAUAAAGCUGACAUGUAAGGCAAGUUUAGUUGUCGUGAUAGCUGAAAUACAAAACUUUACAUUAGGGUAAGGAUAGGUUGGACAUCAAUCUCUCCCACUACUUUUCUACACAGUCUAACAUUACAACUAAAAUCUGAAGGCCUGACUUUCUGAGAUAUCAUAACUGACUAGCUCCUAUAUACUCGCUAACUAUAAUAGACUAACCCACUGGGGUGGAGACUGAGAAAGGUUCUGUUAAGGUUUCCGGUCUAACUUUGAAAUCGACUGCUAUGUAAGGAGCUAUGAAAGACAGGGAAGCUACUAAAUCUAAUAAGAAAAAACAUGUAAAUGGAAGAUAUGCAAUGUACCAGUGACCGCAUCAAGAAAAUUUUCCUGAUCUCGUCUGGACUAAAGUGCCUAGAGCUUGUUUGGGCGUUGCCCACUGGUAGAACCAGAAGUAGCACCCUGCUGAUUUGAGCGAUUAGACUGAGCUGAAGAAUGAUUAAACUGACCCUGUUGGUGUAAAUAUUUUCCCCUUUGAGUCAUUACUCUAAACUCUUGCAUCCUAUGGCCUGUCUUACCAUAUCCAAACCAUACAUCGCUACCUGCUCUACACACACCUAGGUGAAUUCUACCAUAUUAUUUGGAAAGUGGAUGGAUAUGACCACUACUCAUACAACCCUGGGUUUUAGAGCCUAGCACCCCAUCAUGACUAUCAUUCUUGAACUAUGGUAUUGGUGCACUAGCUGAGGAUGGAGCUAGAACUAAAGAUUUUGGAUGAAACUGGGAAUAAUUAUCGCUCUCUAACUUAGGCUAAUUUAAAUUAAAACUACCUGUUCUAUCUCUCUUGUUCUUCUUCUUCUUCUUCUUAAGCUUUUGCUCCUCAACCUGUGGAGCAUGGAACACAAGACUGGAUAUGUCCAUCUCCUUAAUUAGCAUCGUUGUCCUGCACUCCUUAACCAUACUAUCUAACACCCCAAACAUGAACUUGCUCAUUCUAGACCUAUUGCCUGCUACUACAUGGGGAGCAUACCUGGAUAAUUGAAUAAAUGUAAGGAAAUACUCUUUCACAUUCAUACUACCUUGCCUGAGAUUGAUAAAAUCUAACACCUUGGCUUCUCUCACUCUAAGGGAAAGAAUCUAUCUAGAAAAGCAGUAGAAAACUCUUCACAUUCUAUGGGCACUGCAACUGUGUUCCUAUCUACCUUCCACUGCUUAAACUAUGUAUGAGCUAUAUCUUGUAGCUGAUAGGUAUCAAACUCAACACUCUUACUAGAAGUUACUCCCAUAAUGUCUAUGACUUUUUGAACCUGAUUAAGGAACUCCUGUGGACCCUCUUCUAACUUAGAUCCUGAGAAUAGGGGAGGAUUCAUUCGAGUGAAGUCCUAAAUCCUAGCUGCAGUAGUAUUGACCACUGGUUUGGCCUGAAAAGAAGCUGGUUAUUUAUUUUAAGCUAUUAUUGAGUUAGAUAAAGUAGUGAAUGCAGGUUUGAAUUCUGCAUGAGAGACAUGCUUGUCCAGUGAAUUUUCCUGAAGGGUCUAAGGUACUGACUAAUUUUUGGUUCUACUUCUGUUAGUCUUCUUGGGAGGCAUGUUCUAUAGCUGAAAAGAAGAAAUGAAUUAGACUGAGAAUUUUGCUUGAGCUCAUGUUCACUCACACGACAUAAAUACUGAAAGAAGGGAAACUUUUCCUAAAAUAUCUCGUAGCCUCCUAUCCAUAAGUCUGGCGCACUACACAUCCAAGCACAAGACUCUACUAGAUACGACUUUCAGACUUCCUAGGACUCUAUUGAACCUUAAGCUCUAAUACCAAGUUUGUAAUUCCUUGAGUCUAUACCCCGGAUGCUACAUAAUGCUCAUAAUACUAAGGGACCACAAGCUAACCCAUGACUGGUACCUGCUGCAAUAAUUGUAUAAUAAUACUGUAAUUAUGUGAAAAUUAGGCAGAAACUUGCCAUAAUGUUCAAACUUGAAAGUAAAUACUAAAUACUUAUACGUUUGUCUGAAAUACUCUGGUCUGAAAAGCCUCUACUAUCUGAAGAAGGAGUUGCUAGGACAAGUCCCCAACUAACUUCGACUACUGAAAUAAACUGAGUACUAAAAUACUAAAAUAAUAAGUCUAUCAUCAAACUAUGAGGACUUACCACUAAGUUUGCUGCUGAUAGAUCGGGUUGCUAAGUAUGAUCAGGAGCCCAUGCGUCUGAACCUAUGGUAUAAGACAUCAUAGCGCAAAAGAAAUGUAUGGUCAAUACUUUGAAUAUACUAGUAUACUAAGUGAGGUAGGCUGAGAUGCAUGGGCUCAUAUGCAUGUACAAUACACACUGAAUGACAAGAGUAUAACUGAAUAAGAGUACAUACAUGAAUACUUAAACUAUAGAUCUUAUCAUGAUAACACUAGAUACUAAGUUUUGAAUUACUGAUUUACUAAUAUCUGAGUUUACUGAUACUGGGUAUCCAAUAACUGAGUGACUAUAUCUGAUAGUCUUGAUUCUAAAGAACUGGUCUAAGUUUUAUACUGAGCUGAGUAAGUGUACCUGAUAGUCCUAAAUCUAUAGAGCUGAACUGAGUUUUAUACUAAGACUGGAUCUGAAAUUGAGACUAUAGGAGGUAAUCAUCUAACCAACAUUCUCUUUUCUAAAUAGAUUGGGGUCCAACCUAUAAUCCCAGUUGGAAGGGUGUUAGUACCGUGCCAUGGGUAAAGACAACUGGUUGUGGGGUUACUCCUAGUAUAGCGGGUGACCCUUGAGAUCUGUCCUAACUAGUGGGUGAUCCCUGAGUAUGUCAGCCCUAUCUAACCAGUGGCAUCUUAUAACCUAUGCUGGUUAUGUAGUUCUGGAACUUAGGGAUUGCUUCUAGGGACCCAGUCCUAGAUAACGGGUGAGCCCCCAUCCCUAGGCUCGCUCGAUGCUGAAUUCUACUCCCAACUGAAUACACACUGAACUGAUUCCUAGUUCAUACUAGGCUUGACUGAACUGUUACUGAUUAUACUGUCUAAAUGAACUGAACUAAGUUUAUUGAGUUCCAUUAACUGAUAGAAUACUACUGAAUUUUAUUAACUGACUGAAUUUACUAAGGUCUAAACUGAUACUGAAUUGGACUGGACUGAUACUGAGUUUACUGAUUUUUUCCUGAGUUUUAUAACUAACUGAGAGUACUACUGACCUUGACAUGAUCAUACUAUCCUGAGACUAAACAUGGCUCUAGGUACUAAAUACCUCCAGGAAUCGAUAGCGUAAAUUUAAGACAUGGGUCAAUCUUGAAACAUGAUAAAUAACUACUUGAUCAUCAUUCAUUCAUAGGGACAUUAUAGUAAACACUUGUAUGACAUGAACUUGAAUACAUGCUAACAUGAUAUAAUUUCAUUAUUUAAUUCUCAUGAACAACUCAUCAAACACUUGGAAGGCAUUGCACAUGCACAUAGUACUAAUCAACACAUGAGCAUCAUAAUUUCAUGGCUUUAACAUGAAUUCACAUGAUACUCUAUUCAUAAUAGUUGUUUUUACAUAAAGCUUGUACUUAAUCAUGGAAUAAAAAUCAAAUCAACAUUAUAAUCAUGAAUACACUUGAAUUCAAAUCAUGGAAAGCAUGAAAUCAAGCUACUUAAAGUUUAAAAGAGUUUCUUGGACUCCAAGGAUAGAAGGAGCCCUUGGAUGAACACUUGACAUACAUUAAUAAUUAAAUUUUGAAAGAUUGAUGGUAAGUUCUUAAGCCUCGAGUUGAAUUUGAAAUCUCCUAGGGUUUGUUCUUCAGAGAAACUAGUGAAAAAUGAAUAGUUUUUGCUCUUAGAAGGGUUUAAUUUCAUGUUUUGGGGUUGAUAGAUGUGGAAAAAAAACCCUAAUACCCCUGAGGAUGCGGCUUUUUAAUUACUAAAAAUUAGAUUGUCUACGCGUAGACCAAUGGGCCGUGUCAAGUCUAUGUUGGUUCACUGGAAUUUACAUUGAACUGAGGGAAAAAUUAUCUGUCGAUGUAAGGGAUGAUGCGACUCAUCGAUAUCGCGUUGACUUACUAUUUGGGUCUCUCAAACAUUGUCUAAACGAGGUCCAAAAAAUCCAAAACUUGUUCGAAAACACCUACUAACAUUCCUGAUCAUGAAUCAAUCUAAAGAUCGAUACUUUAAGGUCAUAAGAGUCAUGAGAUAGAGUUGCUAGCUUAUGAAGGCCAAAAUAAUACUAAGUCUGAAUACUUAGGUAGAACUUUCUAAGUCUGGGACCCCUUAGCUAUCUUAAAAGACUGAGUUGAGCUUAGGAUUUUAUGGGGUGUUACAAUUAUACAUUAUUCACAAGAAGACUUUUAAACAAAUGAAAGAGAAAAAUGGAGUCGUUAGGUUCCUGACAACUGAACUACAGGAAUGCUUGAUAAUAUUCUGGUAUCGUGCCAGUUCCAGAAAAAAUAAUAGAAAGAAAAAAUGGAUGAUGAUGGUGUCCUAUAUAGUACAUGUGUACCUCAAUUAUUUUGGGGGUACCUGCUACCUCAACCAACAUAGGUACCUGUUGGCAAAUGUAAACAAAUCACCUUGUGUUUGUGCCUCUGCCCGGAUUUGAACCUAAAGUGCUUAAGUCCAGUACUGAUUCCUGGUGGUUCCUCAAAUCUUCCUAUUGGAGUAACUAAUAUUGUGGGUCAAGGGUUGGGUGAAUUCAAUAAUUCCUGGUGGUUACACAAAUGUUUGGUGAUGGGAGGAAUAUGACUAUUCCUUCACCCUUUGCAGUAAGAAAUACCACCCACGUAGGAUCUUCUACACAUCAAAUUUUGCAUCUAAAGUUAUAAUGUCAAGAAUUAGUACAAGUGGAAGCUUGAAUUUUAGUAGUUUUAUUAGAAGAUAUGUGUUAAGUCAUUGUAUUUAACUGUUACUUUCACAACUCUUUUCCAUGUCCAAAAUUUUUGUGACUCAUGAUUCUAAACUCCACAAUUUCUCCAAAGUUAUUAUUUAUGCAACCUAAGUAGUUAAGGAUUCUUGGUCACAAACCUCUCUAUAACACUACAAGCAGUUAAAGAUUCUUGGUCACAUGAUCCUACUAUUCAACCCUAUUUGCAGAGACAAUAACAUCAAGACACCAAUGUUAUAGAACAGUAAAAUUGAGAAAACAAUAUAUGGCUUGAACAGUAGUAGCAAAACAACAUUAAAAGUUCAUAACAAUAGUGGCAAAACAGCACAAAAGUGUAGUGCAGUAGCAACACCACAAAAAUAACAGAAAAUACAGAACAACAACAUCUCUUGAAAAUACAGUCGAAUGUACAACAUAGUGACAGCACAAUAAGAUUGAAAUGAGAACAACUAGCAAACACAGUAAAUAUACACUUACAUCAGUAGCUUCAGCUUUCUCAUUUACCCAAUUUUUAUCAAUUUUCUUGCGAAUCGUUGAAAAAUAAAAUUUUGAAACUAAAAAACAUUUUCCAGUAGCUUCUUUCUAUAUUCAAAAAAAUAUAUGUAUGUUAUCAACAUUAAAUAUGAUAUUAUUUUCUUAAAAGAAAUAUAUUUAAAAACAUUUAUAAUUACCAUUCUUUUAUAGAUCAAUCGAUGAGGUACACAACCACCUAUAUGAGUGAUGCACUGACAUUUGAAUCAUAAUUGUUUUUACUUUGUUCAUACUUUAUUUUGAACUCAUCAGACUCCCAAUACACCUUCAUCUUCUUGAAUACUGCAUCUCCCAUCCAAUGUGGUUUUAGAAGCAAUUUUUUCUAAUAUCUUGAAAAAGUUGGGUCAUUUUUUAAGCCACCCUUUUAUUAUAAUUAGACCAUAUAGCAUCAUUAUUGUGAGGAAGCCAUUUAAAUUUCUACUACAUAUAUUAAAUGAAUAUCAUAUUAGCUAUAUAGUCCCAUAUUUAUAUUUAUACAUGAAUCAAAAUGUAAAUUAUUUUUACCUUGAAUUCCUCAAACCAUAUCUCGCGAGUAGACUCUGGAAACUUCUUCUAUGAAGGUCUAGCCAAUUCAAAUUUACUCCGAAUGCAAUUAGCAAUACCAUCAAUAAAUACCUUGUGUGGAUAAAACCUACAUAACAUAUAGUAUUAUCAAACAUAUGCACAUAUAAAUAGUCCACCUAAAUAUAUGUAUAUUAAAUGUUAGUCGUAUUACCCAUCUCUAUCAGGUACAAUCCAUAUUUG
RNAcentral lists this long non-coding RNA (10885 nucleotides) under Capsicum annuum. RNAcentral describes it as "long non-coding RNA (CANN_LNC019371)". Lineage: Eukaryota; Viridiplantae; Streptophyta; Magnoliopsida; Solanales; Solanaceae. The record is from RNAcentral.